RNAcentral lists this ribosomal RNA (470 nucleotides) under uncultured bacterium. Its description in RNAcentral is "bacterial SSU rRNA". It matches the Rfam family "Bacterial small subunit ribosomal RNA", at positions 915 to 1391 of the family's 1533-position model. The record is from RNAcentral.
GGGGACCCGCAAGCGGUGGAUGAUGUGGAUUAAUUCGAUGCAACGCGAAAAACCUUACCUACCCUUGACAUGUACGGAAGCCUUGAGAGAUCAGGGUGUGCUCGAAAGAGAGCCGUAACACAGGUGCUGCAUGGCUGUCGUCAGCUCGUGUCGUGAGAUGUUGGGUUAAGUCCCGCAACGAGCGCAACCCUUGUCAUUAGUUGCUACGAAAGGGCACUCUAAUGAGACUGCCGGUGACAAACCGGAGGAAGGUGGGGAUGACGUCAAGUCCUCAUGGCCCUUAUGGGUAGGGCUUCACACGUCAUACAAUGGUACAUACAGAGGGCCGCCAACCCGCGAGGGGGAGCUAAUCCCAGAAAGUGUAUCGUAGUCCGGAUCGCAGUCUGCAACUCGACUGCGUGAAGUUGGAAUCGCUAGUAAUCGCGGAUCAGCAUGUCGCGGUGAAUACGUUCCCGGGUCUUGUACACACC